Molecule: ribosomal RNA, 253 nt
Filed under: uncultured bacterium
Lineage: Bacteria
Description: partial 16S ribosomal RNA
Rfam family: Bacterial small subunit ribosomal RNA
Source: RNAcentral
UACGUAGGUGGCAAGCGUUAUCCGGAUUUAUUGGGUGUAAAGGGCGUGUAGGUGGGAGCGCAAGUCAGAUGUGAAAACUUAGGGCUCAACCCUGAGCCUGCAUUUGAAACUGUGUUUCUUGAGUGCUGGAGAGGCAAUCGGAAUUCCGUGUGUAGCGGUGAAACGCGAAGAUAUACGGAGGAACACCAGUGGCGAAGGCGGAUUGCUGGACAGUAACUGACGCUGAGGCGCGAAAGCGUGGGGAGCAAACAGG